UCCUUGGUAGCUCAGAUGGUAAAGAAUCUGCCUGCAAGGCAGGAGACCUGGGUUCAAUUCCUGGGUUGGGAA
This 72-nucleotide transfer RNA is filed under the name Ovis aries (sheep). It matches the Rfam family "tRNA". From Rfam's summary of the family: Transfer RNA (tRNA) molecules are approximately 80 nucleotides in length. Their secondary structure includes four short double-helical elements and three loops (D, anti-codon, and T loops). The record is from Rfam by way of RNAcentral. Lineage: Eukaryota; Metazoa; Chordata; Mammalia; Artiodactyla; Bovidae.